CGAGGAGCGUGUGAAACCCGUCAAUCCUGUUUGCCAUUUCCCCGUGGAUUUCCGAGGAGAGGUUCUGCACGAUGCCCCCAGGUGAUCCUCCGACUGUGAAAAACCAAACCUCUUGCUGCCUGGCUCCCUAGGAAUCAAGAAGAGGCACAGACUGAAAAUCAGGGAGGAAAGGAACAAGAUCAAGGAUGAGGAUUAGCAUCUGCAAAUUGAACCCUAUCUAAUUUGCAUGUUUAUUUCUUAGAAUUGUAAUUAAAUUUGUGUAAUAAAUGUUUUCCAUUUCAUUCCUAUGCUUAAAAUUUGGGUGACUGACGUGCAGUUAAGUGAAUUUUUUUUUUCUUAAAGCAAAUGUAGUUUAUUCAAUAAAGCAGCAAACAAAUAUUAAACAUAAUUAGAACUAA
Long non-coding RNA from Capra hircus (goat), 398 nucleotides. RefSeq lists it as uncharacterized. NCBI's taxonomy places the organism in Eukaryota, Metazoa, Chordata, Mammalia, Artiodactyla, Bovidae. The transcript has 2 exons. The record is from RefSeq and is a predicted model, not a curated record.